UGGGGAAUUUUGGACGAAUUGGGCGAAAGCCUGAUCCAGCAAUGCCGCGUGUGUGAAGAAGGCCUUCGGGUUGUAAAGCACUUUUGUCCGGAAAGAAAUCCUUGGCUCUAAUACAGUCGGGGGAUGACGGUACCGGAAGAAUAAGCACCGGCUAACUACGUGCCAGCAGCCGCGGUAAUACGUAGGGUGCAAGCGUUAAUCGGAAUUACUGGGCGUAAAGCGUGCGCAGGCGGUUUGCUAAGACCGAUGUGAAAUCCCCGGGCUCAACCUGGGAACUGCAUUGGUGACUGGCAGGCUAGAGUAUGGCAGAGGGGGGUAGAAUUCCACGUGUAGCAGUGAAAUGCGUAGAGAUGUGGAGGAAUACCGAUGGCGAAGGCAGCCCCCUGGCAAGUACUGACGCUCAUGCACGAAAAGCGUGGGGAGCAAACGGAUUAAUCCCUGGUAGUCCACG
Molecule: ribosomal RNA, 451 nt
Filed under: uncultured bacterium
Lineage: Bacteria
Description: partial 16S ribosomal RNA
Rfam family: Bacterial small subunit ribosomal RNA
Source: RNAcentral